UACAGAGGUCUCAAGCGUUGUUCGGAUUCAUUGGGCGUAAAGGGUGCGUAGGUGGCGAUGUAAGUCUGGUGUGAAAUCUCGGGGCUCAACCCCGAAAUGGCAUUGGAUACUGCGUCGCUCGAGGACUGUAGAGGAGAGAGGAAUUCACGGUGUAGCAGUGAAAUGCGUAGAUAUCGUGAGGAAGACCAGUUGCGAAGGCGUCUCUCUGGGCAGUUCCUGACACUGAGGCACGAAGGCCAGGGGAGCAAAC
This 250-nucleotide ribosomal RNA is filed under the name uncultured bacterium. RNAcentral describes it as "partial 16S ribosomal RNA". It matches the Rfam family "Bacterial small subunit ribosomal RNA", at positions 524 to 773 of the family's 1533-position model. The record is from RNAcentral.